AGAUGUGAGUGAGAUCUGUCUGCGACAUCUGUCACCCCAUUGAUCGCCAGGGUUGAUUAGGCUGAUCUGGCAGCUAGGUGGGUGUCCCCUUCCUCCCUCACUGCUCCUCCUGUGUCCCUCCUGAAGCUGUGUGCUCGGUGGACAGCAAUCCCAGUUUGAAGGAGUGUACCGUUCUUCGGUCAAGGGUAUGCGAUAGCUGCACUCCCCUGCUAGGACCUCCAAACCAGCUCAGUGUUCAUUUGUAGGAGAAUAUAGGGUAGUGAAGCUUCCAAGACUCCUGACACAUCCAAGUAAGACACUGCAUGUGCCAGUUUGCCAUUCUUU
Molecule: non-coding RNA, 324 nt
Organism: Podarcis lilfordi (Lilford's wall lizard)
Lineage: Eukaryota; Metazoa; Chordata; Lepidosauria; Squamata; Lacertidae
Source: the annotation of a GenBank genome assembly